RNAcentral lists this ribosomal RNA (916 nucleotides) under uncultured bacterium. Its description in RNAcentral is "bacterial SSU rRNA". It matches the Rfam family "Bacterial small subunit ribosomal RNA", at positions 21 to 949 of the family's 1533-position model. The record is from RNAcentral.
GGCUCAGGACGAACGCUGGCGGCGCGCCUAACACAUGCAAGUCGAACGGAGCAUUGAGAGCUUGCUUUUAAUGCUUAGUGGCGAACGGGUGAGUAACGCGUGAGUAACCUGCCCUGGAGUGGGGGACAACAGUUGGAAACGACUGCUAAUACCGCAUAAGCCCACGAUCCGGCAUCGGAUUGAGGGAAAAGGAUUUAUUCGCUUCAGGAUGGACUCGCGUCCAAUUAGCUAGUUGGUGAGGUAACGGCCCACCAAGGCGACGAUUGGUAGCCGGACUGAGAGGUUGAACGGCCACAUUGGGACUGAGACACGGCCCAGACUCCUACGGGAGGCAGCAGUGGGGGAUAUUGCACAAUGGGGGAAACCCUGAUGCAGCGACGCCGCGUGGAGGAAGAGGGUUUUCGGAUUGUAAACUCCUGUCGCUAGGGACGAUAAUGACGGUACCUAACAAGAAAGCACCGGCUAACUAUGUGCCAGCCGCCGCGGUAAAACGUAGGGUGCAAGCGUUGUCCCGGAAUUACUGGGUGUAAAGGGAGCGCAGGCGGACCGGCAAGUUGGAAGUGAAAACUAUGGGCUCAACCCAUAAAUUGCUUUCAAAACUGCUGGCCUUGAGUAGUGCAGAGGUAGGUGGAAUUCCCGGUGUAGCGGUGGAAUGCGUAGAUAUCGGGAGGAACACCAGUGGCGAAGGCGACCUACUGGGCACCAACUGACGCUGAGGCUCGAAAGCAUGGGUAGCAAACAGGAUUAGAUACCCUGGUAGUCCAUGCCGUAAACGAUGAUUAAUGGGUGUUGGAGGAUUGACCCCUUCAGGGGAGCAGUUAACACAAUAGUUAUCCACCCUGGGGAGUGCGACCGCGAGGUUGAGACUCUAAGGAAUUGACGGGAGCCCGCACAAGCAGUGGGGUAUGUGGGUUAA